RNAcentral lists this ribosomal RNA (1005 nucleotides) under uncultured bacterium. RNAcentral's name for it is "bacterial SSU rRNA". It matches the Rfam family "Bacterial small subunit ribosomal RNA", at positions 319 to 1360 of the family's 1533-position model. The record is from RNAcentral.
CUGAGACCCGCCAGAUUCUACGGAGCAGCAGUGGGAUAUGCACAUGGCGAAGCUGAUGCAGCGACGCGCGUGGGGAUGACGCUCGGUGUAACCUCUUUCAGUAGGGAGAAGCGAAAGUGACGGUACUGCAGAAGAAGCGCCGGCUAACUACGUGCCAGCAGCCGCGGUAAUACGUAGGGCGCAAGCGUUGUCCGGAAUUAUUGGGCGUAAAGAGCUCGUAGGUGGCUUGUCGCGUCUGCCGUGAAAACCCGAGGCUCAACCUNGGGCGUGCGGUGGGUNCGNGCAGGCUAGAGUGUGGUAGGGGAGACUGGAACUCCUGGUGUAGCGGUGAAAUGCGCAGAUAUCAGGAAGAACACCGAUGGCGAAGGCAGGUCUCUGGGCCAUUACUGACACUGAGGAGCGAAAGCAUGGGUAGCGAACAGGAUUAGAUACCCUGGUAGUCCAUGCCGUAAACGUUGGGCACUAGAUGUGGGGGACAUUCCACGUUUUCCGCGUCGUAGCUAACGCAUUAAGUGCCCCGCCUGGGGAGUACGGCCGCAAGGCUAAAACUCAAAGGAAUUGACGGGGGCCCGCACAAGCGGCGGAGCAUGCUGAUUAAUUCGAUGCAACGCGAAGAACCUUACCAAGGCUUGACACGCACCGGACGGCCGCAGAGAUGUGGCUUUCUUCGGACUGGUGCACAGGUGGUGCAUGGUUGUCGUCAGCUCGUGUCGUGAGAUGUUGGGUUAAGUCCCGCAACGAGCGCAACCCUUGUUCUAUGUUGCCAGCACGUCAUGGUGGGGACUCAUAGGAGACUGCCGGGGUCAACUCGGAGGAAGGUGGGGACGACGUCAAAUCAUCAUGCCCCUUAUGUCUUGGGCUUCAAGCAUGCUACAAUGGUCGGUACAAUGGGUUGCGAAACUGUGAGGUGGAGCGAAUCCCAAAAAGCCGGCCUCAGUUCGGAUUGGGGUCUGCAACUCGACCCCAUGAAGUCGGAGUCGCUAGUAAUCGCAGAUCAGCACGUGC